GGGGUUGUUAUUAAGCAAUGGGGGUGGGUCAUGCGAACACUCAAGCCAUGCACCAUCGAUUUGCUGAUGAAGGCCCUGUUAGAGUGACAAAAAAGCAAUAGUGUAUACGAUCGAGUUUGCUGGGACGCCGAUCAGAGUAGGGAUCACAGACCGCUCCACGAGCAACUCCAGCUGAAAAUAACGCAAAGCAGCAAAUACGAUCAGACUUCUUGCAAUUUUCUCAUGCAUCUAUCGUAGUAUCAUCCCCGUGUUGUGUUUAUUUUUUCGCUACCUAACCUAGCUGAAAUGAAAAGUUUAGGAUGAUGAAAUAACUAGGGGCUACGAUUCUCUUACCAGAUUCUUGUUUUCUCGGUUCCCCAAACUUGCCAAUGUCUCUCAAUC
Molecule: long non-coding RNA, 381 nt
Filed under: Setaria italica (foxtail millet)
Lineage: Eukaryota; Viridiplantae; Streptophyta; Magnoliopsida; Poales; Poaceae
Description: long non-coding RNA (SITA_LNC002626)
Source: RNAcentral